RNAcentral lists this ribosomal RNA (485 nucleotides) under uncultured bacterium. RNAcentral describes it as "bacterial SSU rRNA". It matches the Rfam family "Bacterial small subunit ribosomal RNA", at positions 28 to 507 of the family's 1533-position model. The record is from RNAcentral.
GAUGAACGCUAGCGGGAGGCUUAACACAUGCAAGUCGAGGGGCAGCAUAGGGUAGCAAUACUCUGAUGGCGACCGGCAAACGGGUGAGUAACGCGUAUGCAACCUACCCUGUACAGGGGGAUAACCCGGAGAAAUUCGGACUAAUAUCCCGUAAUAAUAUCCGGAGGCAUCUUUGGAUAUUAAAGUUCCGACGGUACGGGAUGGGCAUGCGUAACAUUAGCUGGUUGGUAAGGUAACGGCUUACCAAGGCUAUGAUGUUUAGGGGUCCUGAGAGGGUGGUCCCCCACACUGGUACUGAGACACGGACCAGACUCCUACGGGAGGCAGCAGUGAGGAAUAUUGGUCAAUGGGCGCAAGCCUGAACCAGCCAUCCCGCGUGCAGGAAGACGGCCCUAUGGGUUGUAAACUGCUUUUCCAGGGAGAGAACUUACGCACGUGUUGCGUGACUGACGGUACCCUGGGAAUAAGCAUCGGCUAACUCCGUG